AGGUUGAAGCUUGGGUAAAACCAGGUGGAGGACCGAACCAGGGUCUGUUGAAAAAGACUUGGAUGACUUGUGGCUAGGGGUGAAAUUCCAAUCGAACCCGGAGAUAGCUGGUUCUCCCCGAAAUAGCUUUAGGGCUAGCGUUGUGAGAAGAGUUAUACGAAGGUAGAGCACUGAAUGGGUGAGGGCCGCACCUCGCGGUACCAAUCUCAAUCAAACUCCGAAUGUCGUAUAAUAUGCGCAGCAGUAAGACUAUGGGUGAUAAGGUCCAUGGUCAAAAGGGAAACAGCCCAGACCGCCAGUUAAGGUCCCAAAAUUAUGCUAAGUGGGAAAGGAGGUGGAGUCGCUUAAACAACUAGGAGGUUGGCUCAGAAGCAGCCAUCCUUUAAAGAGUGCGUAAUAGCUCACUAGUCGAGUGAUUCUGCGCCGAAAAUGUAUCGGGGCUAAGCAUAAUACCGAAGCUGCGGGAUUAGAUGAAGAAUCUAAUCGGUAGGGGAGCGUACUAAGUGCGUAGAAGGUUGACCGGAAGGGCAGCUGGAGCGCUUAGCAGUGAGUAUGCCGGUGUGAGUAGCGAUAAGAUGGGUGAGAAUCCCAUCCGUCGAAAGCCUAAGGUUUCCAGGGGUAAGGCUCGUCCUCCCUGGGUAAGUCGGGUCCUAAGGUGAGGCUGAGAAGCGUAGCUGAUGGACAUCAGGUUGAUAUUCCUGAACCACCAUAAAACUGAAGGAAUGACGGAGGAGGCUAAUCAGAGCUGAUUAAUGGAUUUCAGUUUAAGUACAAAGAGGGUUACGUAGGCAAAUCCGCGUAGCAAAACCUUGAAGUAUGAUGACGUAAGUCUGGUGAAGCCACACUUCCAAGAAAAGUUUCUAGGUGUAUUUUAUGGUGCCCGUACCGUAAACGGACACACGUAGGCGAGGAGAGAAUCCUAAGACGCGCGAGAUAAUUCUUGUUAAGGAACUCGGCAAAAUUACUCUGUAACUUCGGAAUAAAGAGGGCUCCCGUGAGGGAGACGCAGAAAAUAGGCCCAAGCGACUGUUUAACAAAAACAUAGGUUUCUGCUAAAGCGUAAGCUGAUGUAUAGGAGCUGACGCCUGCCCAGUGCUGGAAGGUUAAGAGGAGAAGUUAGUCGCAAGGCGAAGCUUUGAAUUGAAGCCCCAGUAAACGGCGGCCGUAACUAUAACGGUCCUAAGGUAGCGAAAUUCCUUGUCAGGUAAGUUCUGACCCGCACGAAAGGCGUAACGAUUUGGGCGCUGUCUCAACAAGAAACUCGGUGAAAUCAUAGUACCUGUGAAGAUGCAGGUUACCCGCGAUCAGACGGAAAGACCCCAUGGAGCUUCACUGCAACUUAAUAUUGAUAUUGGGUGUGUGAUGUACAGGAUAGGUGGGAGACAAAGAAGCGAGUACGCUAGUAUUCGUGGAGUCAACCUUGGGAUACCACCCCUCGCACAUUUAGUAUCUAACUAGUUUCCAUAAACUGGGAAUAGAACAGUGUUAGGUGGGCAGUUUGACUGGGGCGGUCGCCUCCCAAAGAGUAACGGAGGCGCCCAAAGGUUCCCUCAGAAUGGUUGGAAAUCAUUCAUAGAGUGUAAAGGCAGAAGGGAGCUUGACUGCGAGACGGACAGGUCGAGCAGGAACGAAAGUUGGGCUUAGUGAACCGGCUGUGCUGAAUGGAAAGGCAGUCGAUCAACGGACAAAAGCUACCCUGGGGAUAACAGGCUGAUCUCCCCCAAGAG
Molecule: ribosomal RNA, 1727 nt
Filed under: human gut metagenome
Description: bacterial LSU rRNA
Rfam family: Bacterial large subunit ribosomal RNA
Source: RNAcentral